Molecule: long non-coding RNA, 502 nt
Organism: Branchiostoma belcheri (Belcher's lancelet)
Lineage: Eukaryota; Metazoa; Chordata; Leptocardii; Amphioxiformes; Branchiostomatidae
Exons: 3
Source: RefSeq, a predicted model, not a curated record
ACAGAAACAAUGGAUGACGAUACGCUGAAAUUGGGAUUGAAAGCUAGAGGAAAAUCCACAAGUGGUUCUCGUAUGAGUCUAAUCAAAAGAUUCAAGGAUCCUGAUGAGGGUUGCCAAGGCCUCCAUAAACAAUUACCCGGAGGUAUUGCAUGUCGUUUUUCGGACAACUGUCUUAGCGUGACGUGCUGUGUUGAACUCAAGCUUGUCGUUAUUCGGCGGGUCUUGGAAGCUUCACUUACCUUAGACCCCUGUAGUCUGGAGCUCACUUUGACCGUUGGAAAUUUCAAAAGGUCCUUUAAAGUCACUGAUCAUUUAGCGGAGCAAUAUAGUGGAUCUAUCAUAGACAAUCUAAAUGUCAUGGAUGUGGUGACAUUCACGGUAACAUAUUCUAUCAAGAGGGUUGGCAAUAAAGUGACAGUGGACUUGAGUGCUUCAAUGUGUGCAAAGGAUAAGUGCAAAGAAUUUUCCAAAGUAUUCGACGGGUUGACCCUUUCCCUUCCCC